RNAcentral lists this ribosomal RNA (368 nucleotides) under uncultured organism. RNAcentral describes it as "bacterial SSU rRNA". It matches the Rfam family "Bacterial small subunit ribosomal RNA", at positions 526 to 896 of the family's 1533-position model. The record is from RNAcentral.
CGGAGGAUCCAAGCGUUAUCCGGAAUCAUUGGGUUUAAAGGGUCCGUAGGCGGUUUUGUAAGUCAGUGGUGAAAUCCGGUCGCUCAACGAUCGAACGGCCAUUGAUACUGCAGGACUUGAAUUAUUGUGAAGUAACUAGAAUAUGUAGUGUAGCGGUGAAAUGCUUAGAGAUUACAUGGAAUACCGAUUGCGAAGGCAGGUUACUAGCAAUAUAUUGACGCUGAUGGACGAAAGCGUGGGGAGCGAACAGGAUUAGAUACCCUGGUAGUCCACGCCGUAAACGAUGGAUACUAGCUGUUCGACCGCAAGGUUGAGUGGCUAAGCGAAAGUGAUAAGUAUCCCACCUGGGGAGUACGGGCGCAAGCCUG